Molecule: ribosomal RNA, 385 nt
Filed under: uncultured eukaryote
Lineage: Eukaryota
Description: partial 18S ribosomal RNA
Rfam family: Eukaryotic small subunit ribosomal RNA
Source: RNAcentral
CAAUAGCGUAUAUUAAAGUUGUUGCAGUUAAAAGGCUCGUAGUCGAACUUCUGACUUUUCAAACAUAGCCCUCUAUCUAGUAUAGAGCGUGUUACUGUCUGUGAGUCAUCUAUUUGGUUAACACUCCUGCUCUUGAUUGAGUUUGGUGUGCAAUCCAGAUCAUUUACUGUGAGUAAAUCAGAGUGUUCAAAGCAGGCUCACGCCCUGAAUGCUAUAGCAUGGAAUAAUACUAUAGGACUUUGUUUCUAUUUAUUGGCUUCUAGAAUCAAAGUAAUGAUUGAAAGAGGUAGUUGGGGGUGCUAGUAUUUAACGGUCAGCGGUGAAAUGCGUAGACCCGUUAAAGACUAACUAAUGCGAAAGCAUUCACCAAGGAUAUUUUCUUUGA